GGGGGGAGCACCGGGUCCUGGGCUGUGUCCCCCGGCACCCUGGGCUCUGGGGCCUGCGCCGCUGGAAUCGCGCUCCCGAGGCCGCGCAGCCCCUU
Molecule: microRNA precursor, 95 nt
Filed under: Canis lupus familiaris (dog)
Lineage: Eukaryota; Metazoa; Chordata; Mammalia; Carnivora; Canidae
Also listed under: 1 other name
Description: mir-8799 microRNA precursor family
Rfam family: mir-8799 microRNA precursor family
Source: Rfam by way of RNAcentral